GGCAAAGUGGAACCGGGGCAGCGCGAAGGCCUCGCGGCUCCGCGAUCUCGCCGGGGGCAGCGGGAGGACGAGCAGGCGGCACGGCGCGGGGGCCGACGGAGGCGCGGGGCGGCCGCGCCGGAAGUGCCCCAACCGCGGGAGGAAGCUCAGCGGUCGCCGAGCUGCCGAGCCGGCGGGAAGGCCCUGCGCUCUUCCGCCGGACACGGGCUACCGGGAGCAGGCGGCAGCGGCCCCGAGGCUGCGGGACACUGCGCGGCCAGUCCCCGGGGCUGGGGAGGAGGCCGCGCCGAAGCUAGACGGCGAGAUCGGGAGGCCCGAGGCCCGGGCCGCGGCAGAGCCCCACAUGGCCUCCGGAGGGGGUGCGGCCUUCGAGGAGCUGCCGCACGACGGCACGUGUGAUGAGUGCGAGCCCGACGAGGCUCCGGGGGCCGAGGAAGUGUGUAGAGAAUGCGGCUUCUGCUACUGCCGCCACCACGCGGAGGCGCACGGGCAGAAGUUCCCCAGACACCACCUGGCCGAGUACGUUCACUGCGCCGCCCAGGCCUGGACCCCGGGAGCCCGCGGGGAUGGGGCCGGGGAGGAGGCAGUCGAGGCCCCGGUGGAAAAUGAGAAGGCCCUAGAAAGCGAGGCGGGGGAAGGGAGCGAGUCCGAGGAAGACAGUGAGCCCGAAGAAGCGAGCGAGACAGAGGAAGAGAGCGAGGACGAGAGCGAGGAAGACAGUGAGGAAGAAAUGGAGGACGAGCAAGAGAGCGAAGCCGAGGAGGACAACCAGGAAGAAGGAGAAUCCGAGGCCGAGGGAGAAACAGAGGCGGAAAGCGAAUUUGACCCCGAAAUAGAAAUGGAAGCAGAGAGAGUGGCCAAGAGGAAGUGUCCGGACCAUGGGCUCGAUUUGAGUACCUAUUGCCAGGAAGACAAGCAGCUCAUCUGUGUGCUCUGCCCAGUCAUUGGGGCUCACCAUGGCCACCAUCUCUCCACCCUCGAUGAAGCCUUCGAGGAACUAAGAAGCAAAGACUCAGGCGGACUGAAGGCGGCUAUGAUAGAGUUGGUGGAAAGGUUAAAGUUUAAGAGCUCAGACCCUAAAGUAACCCGGGACCAGAUGAAGGUGUUUAUACAGCAAGAAUUUAAGAAAGUUCAAAAAGUGAUUGCGGAUGAGGAGCAGAAGGCCCUUCAUUUAGUGGACAUCCAGGAAGCAAUGGCCACAGCUCAUGUGACUGAGAUACUGGCUGACAUCCAGUCCCAUAUGGAUAGAUUGAUGACUCAGAUGGCCCAAGCCAAGGAACAACUUGAUACCUCUAAUGAAUCAGCUGAGCCAAAGGCAGAGGGCGACGAGGAAGGACCUGGACCCCGAGGGGCUGCUGCACAAACCCAGGGUUCCUGAGGACUCAGUUUGAAAAUCACUCAUCUAAUGCAAGCCUCUCAUCGAAAGAAGCUAAAUGAGUUGCCCAAGUGGCACCGAUGAAGAAGAGGACACAUGAAGGCCCGCCCUCCCCGGUGGACACCCCCCUCCCCUUGUGUGUGUGUGACAGCGUGUGUGCAACGGCUUCUGACCCCUGUGAAGGCUGCCCGUGCAAGCAACGUGCUCCCGCCAGAUGCGUCCCCCAGACCCACAGCAGGCACAGAGCUCUCCGAGGAACGGCCAGUUUUACUGUUACUGACCGUGCUGCUCAUUCUCUCGUCGUGGUAGGAAAAGGACAAGUGCCCCUUUGCUCAACCAGGAGCAAUUCCAGGGUCCUUCAGGUCAUUCCCUCAACAGCUGCUUUGAACUUCCUCAGGAAAGCCAGCCCCUGUAAUGGUGUAUGCCCAAACAGUAUCACUUCAUUAAGAAGGAUCUGAAAUCAUCUUGAAGGGCAGUCAGGAUGUUUCCCUCCCUGCUUAUAACCCCCCACUUUAUUCAUAUCGAAGCAUGGAAUAAAUGAGGGGGAAAGUAGGGCUGAAUCAACCCAUGUGAUUAGUCUCUACAAGUCCAAUUAUACAUCUGUGAAAAUGUGGUUUCAUGAAAUAAGAUGGAUGGCUUGAAAAUCGACAGAGUUAAAAGUUAAAAAUAUAUAAAGAUAUUUUUAGUACGUGAGGUUAUCCUGGACUUCAGAUUCAUAAUUCAAUCCUGUGGCAAUGAAAAAAAAAAAAGAUUAAAGAGAUAGAAAAGAAAUGACUUAAAAAAGAGGGGGGACCAAAAAGAUCUGAUUAAAAGUUGAAAUCGAAGUUAAUAUUUCUGAACUUAAAUUGCCUAGGUUUCCAAAACAGUCACUCAAGGAUCUGAUGGAACCUGAAUUAUCUGAGUGGAUUCUGAGGUUUCAUGGGUCUCGUCACAUCAUGGAAGUCUGGAGUGUGUGCCACAAAUGGGAAUUUGCACUGUAGGUUUUGCUCCCCUUCCCCUAGCUUAGCCUGAUUUGGCUUCAGUGCAGUGUGGGGAGGAUACUUGGCCCUCUGUGGUGUGUGAAUUGAGUUCCAGCCCCUGGCAGACAGACCUUCCUUUCACUCUAGGGAAGGACCCCUCCGACCCCGGCACUCACCACCUCCAGGUCAUCUCCCACCCCCUGCCUCUCCCCUCUUACAUGCCGUGAGUAGACUCACCGUGGUUGGACUCUGGCCUCUCCCCACUCCCAAAUCACAUUUCGUUACAGCCAAGCUUUUUACUCCCAAGUAAGCAGUGAUGUCCUAGGGAACACAAAGCUGUAAGCUGAAAAGCAUGCAUCUUCUGCAGCAGCAGUUUUGACUUAACACAUGUUUUGGAGUCAGGGAAAGAUGUUAUUUGCGGAUAAAAUAAACACAGUUACAUUAUGAAAUAGAAUGUUCAUAUAUAUAAACUGUAAAGAUAAAACGGGAGACUUCACAGAGGACUUUUGUUUGCAAGCGGGCUGUGUGUUCUCCCUCCUCUGCCGUUAGUGGUAUGUGGGUGUUCACUUCUGAGAAGUACAAUUGGACCUGCAAACAUCCAAGAGCCUUGGGGUUUCUGCUGACUCAGGACCCAGACUUCUAGUGCUUCUGAGGCAGAACCAAAGGAACCUGCAUUGGGGGGAUCUUCCUCUUUUCCUGCCUGCCUGCCUGUGACCUGUAUACCUGUCAACAGAGCUUUAGGGCCCACUGAUGUGUGUGUGCAGGAUGGUUUUGAGGUGGAAACAAUGCUUACUGCCGGAAUCCUGUUUAUAUCACUGUUCAAUCCUGUGCAUGCUGUGAAAUUACUAUUUCUUUGACGCCAGAAGCUACCAGGCAUAUACGCUUCUCAGUUAAGAGUACCCCAGCUCACUAAAUCAUGAGGGACACUGAGGGCUGAGAGCAGUUUGGGCUGUUUUUUUUAAAAAAAAAAACAAACAAACUAUUUUUUCUCUUAAACUGGUGGCCAACAAAUGGCUGAGACAUUUUCGGUGCUUUACCUUUCUACACAAAAAUCUGGAGAUUUUGGCAUACCACUAAUUACAUCCCCCAACCACAUCCAAUGCAACUACCUUUAAAGGAAGACCAGUGGCCAUUCUCAAAGAGAGUUUAAAAAAUCAGAAGAUUAAGAAGACUCUAGGAUGUGGAAGCUUGUGUUGUCUUUCCCCAGUAAUCAUUGUUUAAUCUCCAAGUGGUAGCCUUAUCUUAGCAAUGGACAGCUUAUUGGCUCCUCCAUAACUGAUCAUAGGUUAUUACUUUAAAUCAGUAUUUGGGAAACCCAGGCAUUUAUGCAAGGGAUAUGAAUGGAAAUAUAAAAAUACAUGCCAGCCUGUCUCAAUAAAUUAUCAUAUCUCUAUAA
RNA transcript from Cervus elaphus (red deer), 3730 nucleotides. It is a transcript of the gene named tripartite motif containing 44, with no coding region annotated. Lineage: Eukaryota; Metazoa; Chordata; Mammalia; Artiodactyla; Cervidae. The transcript has 6 exons. The record is from RefSeq and is a predicted model, not a curated record.